GCACCGCUAGCUCAAUUGGAUAGAGCAUCGGUCUACGGAACCGAAGGUUUCAGGUUCGAAUCCUGAGCGGUGUA
RNAcentral lists this transfer RNA (74 nucleotides) under Phycisphaerae bacterium. RNAcentral describes it as "tRNA-Arg". It matches the Rfam family "tRNA". Rfam says of the family: Transfer RNA (tRNA) molecules are approximately 80 nucleotides in length. Their secondary structure includes four short double-helical elements and three loops (D, anti-codon, and T loops). Further hydrogen bonds mediate the characteristic L-shaped molecular structure. tRNAs have two regions of fundamental functional importance: the anti-codon, which is responsible for specific mRNA codon recognition, and the 3' end, to which the tRNAs corresponding amino acid is attached (by aminoacyl-tRNA synthetases). tRNAs cope with the degeneracy of the genetic code in two manners: having more than one tRNA (with a specific anti-codon) for a particular amino acid; and 'wobble' base-pairing, i.e. permitting non-standard base-pairing at the 3rd anti-codon position. Lineage: Bacteria; Pseudomonadati; Planctomycetota; Phycisphaerae. RNAcentral also lists the same sequence under 2 other names. The record is from RNAcentral.